AUCACGUGUUUGACGCUCUCGAACACAGCUGUCACGCACAUGCGCAAACGAUGGUCUAAUACAAUUGCAAUUUGACGAAGCAUUGCAUCACCCUCCAAUUUUAAACAAGGACCAAGCGGCCAAAUAUGUAAAUGACUAUGUUAUAUAUUUGACAGAAAUAGUUUAAUAUAUCUGGACUCUGAGCCAGGGCGUCGAAAGGGGUUACAUUCACAUCGCUUGGAUUGAGCAUAUGAGGGCUAAAUGUUAAAGCAAUUGCCACCUAUCCAACAAUUUCAUUAGAUAACGAAUCUAAGUAACGUCUUCAUUCAAUGGUUCGUUGGUUUGAUCUUUACAGUAGACAACAUUAUUGUAUACAUUGUAGCCUAUGGCAGGCUUGUAGACCUAAUCUCGUGUGCGUUAACAGGAUUGGUCCAGUUUUAUUCUAGUGAAGGCACCAGACUAAGGGUUAAAGGGCACCAAACUGAAAACAGAAAAGGGCCACUUUACAGGCCAGUGCAUUCUUUAUGGGACUGUUGAGUACAACACAUUUGGCCUGGUCCUGGAGAGCCCCAGCCAUCUCUCCCUCCGCUACUCUGUGUAAGCCAUCUCUGUACCUGUGGCAAUCUACUGGUUCUGCACCAGCUGUGUGGAAGAGAAGGUCAAGAGCUCCCAUCCUGCAUCCUCAGGGAAAGACUGUGGCUGAAUGUCACUCUGGGCAUGUGUGUGAAGAUAUUGUUCUUACUGGCGGUGUCAGGGACCGCCUCUUUCUGUCUGCCCUUCAAAACGUGCCCUCCAUAACCAGGUGAGAUGGCUGCCUUGUUUUUCCAUCUUCUCCCAUAUCACCUCUGUGCUCAGUGCCCUCUUGUCUCUCAUACUGUAUAUGAAAUGUGAAAUAUUUUAUGCUGUUCUUUUAUAUCUGGAGGACUUCUUUAAUUUCAGUCGUGAUGAAGCAGACCAUAAAACCUGAGUCAGUCCCUUCGAUGGGAAUCAGUUCUACACAGGCGUGUAUAAUGCAGAGAGGUCUGCCCUGACACUAUCCAUAUCAUGAUGACACAUCAAAACGCUGUUGCCUUAUUAGACCACAGAUACUUUUUUAUAGCCCUUGUAUUGACAUUUUUAUUUAAAGCCAUAUUGUAUUCUUCAUCUGUCCUCUAUUUCUUUGUCUUUCCCAGAAGUCUGUGUGGGUGAACUUCUUCUUCUGGGUGCUGAUCGUGGCGGUGGUGUUUGUCCAGAAACAUCCGGGGUCAGGGUCAGAAUGGAACACGUCUGAAACAGAACUCUUCUUCCACCGACCUGUCUGACCCCACUGACCUAACCUAUAGCCCAAUGGGUGCCAUUAUGUGUCUUUGGAUCCAGUUCCCUGCAAGCAAGAACCUAUUAUUGGCCCAAGAUCAAAUAACAGGGGCUUGUAAAACAGGAUGUUUCGGUCAUCAAUGGGGCAACCUAACAACAACGUGUUUUCACUAUGGAAUAGUGGGAAGUACAAUUAACUUUGGAAGUAACCUCUUUCAUUUUUGUAUACUUAAAUCCAUUAGUUACACAAUUCAGUCCCUUCCUGAUAUAUAGGAUGAUCUGUUCAAAUUAUACUGUACUGAUAUGUACGUCUGUGAAAGACAAAACAUUUCCUGUGAAGUGUAUCGUCUACAUUUAUUUAUAUAUAUAUAUAUUAUAUAUAUAAAUAAAUAAAUGUAGAAGAUACACUUCAGAUACACAUAUAUAUAUACACACAUUUAAAACAAUUAUUGUCAUAAUCUUUAUUUGAUUAUUAUUAAUUAAGUACAGAUCAUUACUAGUUAUUUUCUAGUAUUGAAUGAGUUACAAUUUUACAUUUUAUUAAAAAAAAAUUGCAAUUGAAAAAUUAAAUCCAUCACAACCUUUAUAAAUGGCAUUAACUACAGUCUUCAGGCCCAACCACUUCAUAAUUCUGUGCCUCCUCUCGCCAUCCAUCCAUCCCUCUCCUCUCUGCCCUUUUCUUCAAGCACUCUCUCCAUCUUUUACAAUUGCUUGCUGAGUUUGCGAGCUUGUCUUUCUUUUGUUUCAAUGGGGCCUUGGUGUCCAGGAGCUGCUCCAGCUGCCUGCGUAUGUUGGAUAUGUCUAGCUGAGGUGACCUCACAGGGGCCAGCUGGGUGCUCUGCACCUUGCAUUGGGUCCUAAGCCGUGCUGCCUCCACCAACAGGAUCUCCAUGUUCCUCACAACAGAAUCCACCUACUCCUGAGACAUUUUAUGGACUGGGGGAAAGUGAAAUAUUACAGGACAAAUGGGGCACAAAACGCACACUAGUCUGGAAUUUACAUCAAGAAGAGCAUAAAACAUCUGACAUGGAUUUGCACUGAGGUGUACCCUAGUGAAUCAAAACUAUCUUAAAACCACUUGAUAAGAUAUUAGCCACCCUCCUGUAAAUGUUAAUAAAGACUGAAAUGUUCAUGGUGGCAGCAUCAGUCUGAUUCAUCGGCCCCUGAGACAACUGCAAGUAGCUGUCAUGAGUUGGCCUGGGAGUAGGUUUAUGACAGUCAUAAAUACCUCUUCCCCCCUUUUUCCUCUCUCUACCCUACUGAUGUGACAUUAGAAAACCCCCUGGGUUAACAUAGAGAUUCUGGGAACAUCAGAAGGUGGGGGGAAAUGAACUAUAUUCUGGUAAUCCGACCAAUUGAACAUAAGCGGUGGUACUUAAUGAAUAUGAUGUCAGUUCGGUUGUCAUCUGAUACAUUCUCAUCAAUGAUAGAAUGACAAACUCUACAGUGGAAAGUCUACACAUCAGAGGUAUCGGAUUCACAUGGAAUUGUUGUUCAAUUUAAAUGUUUGAAUAUGAAAUUAUUCGUGAUGGGAUGAAAUGUGAUUUUAGCUUCUAAAAUGUGUGAAUUGGGUUUUCAUGAGUGAAUUAGGCCCAACUCAGUGGCCCACGUGAAGAGACAUAGGUUGUAAAUUAUGAAACACACCCCUCUUCUCCCUCCACUAUAUAAGCCCUUGACGAAAAUGUAACCUCCUGUUCCGAGGAUGUGAGGACGACGGUCCAUUCGUUAAAAGGACUAACCUGUCAACUACAGAACUAAGCCAACCUCAGCAUGAGCUUUGGUUGCGAAUGGUAUGAACUUUGAACUCUUAUUCACUACAGAAGUGAUACGUCCUAGCCAUUGAGUUAGCAACAGCAGCUGCAAACGUAAAUUAGGAUAGGACAGACAGAGUAUCCCGUCUACCACACAACGACGUUACUACAACGUAUCCAAUUUACCAGCAGAGACAUUCUUCAAAGGAAGGGCAACACGGCCUUCCAUCUACCACCAACCUACCGAAGCGCAGCUCAGAGUAAAUAUUUAUUGCAUUUUCCUUUUCCAAAUGGGCGAUAAUUUAGAAUGCAUAAGAUACUGUAUUUACGAAAGCACAGCUUCGCCCUUUGUUCCUCAGUCUUCCCGCUCUUUCACUCAAACCCAGACCCUUUUCUUUUGUGUAACCAGCUGUUAUAUCUGUUCCGCCCGCUAGGGACGUUUUCCUUUAUGACAUAAUUUGUAAUCAAGGUAUGAUUCAUUCUGUGUAUUUGUAAUUCUGUGUGAUUAGUUAGGUAUGUAGUAAAUAAAUAAUUAAACCUAA
Molecule: long non-coding RNA, 3565 nt
Organism: Salvelinus fontinalis (brook trout)
Lineage: Eukaryota; Metazoa; Chordata; Actinopteri; Salmoniformes; Salmonidae
Exons: 3
Source: RefSeq, a predicted model, not a curated record